AAUAUAUCAUUCAUGAACAUAAAAUUUUACAUAAUUAUAAAAGCCUAUCCUUUGCAAAAUGAAGUAUAAGAGGAUCAAGCAAACAAGAAAUAUAAAUUUGCAAAACAUGAUUCCUAUGGGUUCAAUCGAGAGAGGGCGCAUGAUCUGAGGUAGAUGGAAGAUGGGAAUCUAAUGUAUGUCAUUAUUAUAUGCAAAGACUUUGGAAUUAGUUCAGAGGGUUAGCUGUCGAGGAAAAUUCAGUAUUUUGAUACUUACAAUGAAAAAUCCUUGAGACGAAUGGGCUAUACUAAGGCAGAUGAUCAUUGGAUAAAAAAGGGAGAAGGG
RNAcentral lists this long non-coding RNA (324 nucleotides) under Elaeis guineensis (African oil palm). RNAcentral's name for it is "long non-coding RNA (EGUI_LNC021301)". The record is from RNAcentral. Lineage: Eukaryota; Viridiplantae; Streptophyta; Magnoliopsida; Arecales; Arecaceae.